GACAGAGGGUGCAAACGUUGUUCGGAAUUACUGGGCGUAAAGCGUGUGUAGGCGGUCUUCUAAGUCGGGUGUGAAAUCCCUGGGCUCAACCCAGGAAGUGCACUCGAAACUGGAGGGCUAGAGUAUCGGAGAGGUUGGUGGAAUUCUCGGUGUAGAGGUGAAAUUCGUAGAUAUCGAGAGGAACACCGGUGGCGAAGGCGGCCAACUGGACGAAUACUGACGCUGAGACACGAAAGCGUGGGGAGCAAACAGG
RNAcentral lists this ribosomal RNA (253 nucleotides) under uncultured bacterium. RNAcentral describes it as "partial 16S ribosomal RNA". It matches the Rfam family "Bacterial small subunit ribosomal RNA", at positions 524 to 776 of the family's 1533-position model. RNAcentral also lists the same sequence under 1 other name. The record is from RNAcentral.